This 253-nucleotide ribosomal RNA is filed under the name uncultured bacterium. Its description in RNAcentral is "partial 16S ribosomal RNA". It matches the Rfam family "Bacterial small subunit ribosomal RNA", at positions 524 to 776 of the family's 1533-position model. The record is from RNAcentral.
CACGUAGGGCGCGAGCGUUGUCCGAAAUUAUUGGGCGUAAAGAGCUCGUAGGCGGCCUGUUGCGUCCGCUGUGAAAGCCCGGGGCUUAACCCCGGGUCGGCAGUGGAUACGGGCAGGCUAGAGGUAGGUAGGGGAGAAUGGAAUUCCCGGUGUAGCGGUGAAAUGCGCAGAUAUCGGGAGGAACACCGGUGGCGAAGGCGGUUCUCUGGGCCUUACCUGACGCUGAGGAGCGAAAGCGUGGGGAGCGAACAGG